UGCUGAAGUGAGUAUGCAUUUCUUCAACUUGCACCUCUACAGGUGUACACCUCACUUGCUCUGAAGAUGAAAUUAUGCAACAUAAACUGGAAACAGAAGCACUGCGACAGUUCAGAGAAAUGAGACAAAAUCAUCAUCAUCAUCAAAUGUAGCUGCAUGUGAAGCUCUUACUCUCAUCACAGGAGUCCACAGGAGGCUCUUGUUUACAGAUUGCUGUGUCAUUAGGGUAUUUAAACUUAUACAUUUUCAAGCAGUAUUUAUCACACUGCUGAGAGACUCUGCAGGUGAGAUUUACUUUUUUCCCAACGAAUCCAGUCACAUCAUCACAGCUUACAUUGAAAUCUGGAAAAUAACAUAUAUUUUAUAGGAACUAAAAAAUAAGUUAUUUUUCAGCAUAUCAUAAAAUACAGUUUCAUGAAAUAUACAGUUACUCUUUCCUUAGAGAAACUAUUAAUAAAUAAAAUCACGGCAUUAUGUAUUUUUUACAUUAAAUUUGGGAUUUAGAUUUCUCACACACAUUCUGGGUGAAGAUUAUUCUCUUACUUUUAGCUUGACAGACAGCAGUAAAGGUCCAAAGCAGAAUGAACAGUUGAACAGCAUUUACAGCAUUCAUGGUUGUAAUUCUACAACAACAACAACAACAAAAGACAGAGAUUUGCAUCAGAAAUGAAACUUACAGUUGGUAAAGAAGUACUAGAGAUAGAGAUUAGAUAGAGACUUUACAGAGGACAAUUUACUGAUAACCCAGCACAAAUGUCAGCACUUAUCAAUGCAUUUAUAAGCUUACUUGGAUUAAAUCAGUCCUGAAUAAAUAAAAAUUAAACUUAACAAGCCAUAUAGACUACUUUUAUGGUAUUAAUGUAUUUAAAAAUCACUCAAGGUUGAUUAAAUGAUAGAAUUUUAUUUAGAUUCAUGAACUAUUCCUGUAUGCCAUAGGCUUAAUAUAAUAAUUACACAGUAAAAAAAAAAAAAAAAAAAAAAAAACUAAAAGUCUGAGAAUAUGUUGUACAUAUUCAGUAUAUCACACUUAAAUAAUUUGAAAGGUUUCACCCAACAUAAUAAAUCAUGCUUUAAUUAGAAGGAGCCGAAGGAACUCAUGAGUGCAAAAUUCAACCUCGAAAAAUAUUUAUUAGCUAUAGUAAAGCACUGAGAGCACAUAAUGAAACACAUGAAAUUUUCCGUAGUUUGUUGUGGAUUAGUAAAGGGAAUUAUUUAGUGUUCAUAGAAGUAUGCUCACCUGCGGUCUGUGUGUCCUCACCAUCUGAGUUUAUUCCACUCUGACUCUCUCUGCUGCUCACACGUUUAAAUAGAGGCUUUCACUUUCACUUUCAAUAUGACUUAUGCAGUGGUGGAGGUAACGAAUUACAACUUACGUUAUUGUAAUUAAGUAGUUUCUACUUGUACUUGUACUUGUACUUGUACUUUUUGAGUAUAUUUUUAAAGCUGUACUUUUACAUGUAAGUAGCCUACAAAUUAAGCAAAAUAAUCUACUUCGUUAUUUUAAAUCAUAGUUCGUUACUGAGUAUGCCCACAAUUUAAAUUGAUAUUGAAACCUUUGACGGCACUUCAAUAGCCAAAGAUCCGAAUGUAAACGGACCAAUAAAUGCUGAUCUGCUGCAGUAUACUUUCUAUAUCUGCAUAUCUAUCAGCUACCUUGCAGUAUAGAUAUUAAUCAGCAGACACUGAUAAUGAAUGAAAUGAAAGUAAAGUUUUCUUUGUUUCUGUUGUGAAAUCAUUCAGUGGUUCACCUGCCAUGUUU
This is a long non-coding RNA of Cyprinus carpio carpio, 1759 nucleotides long. NCBI's taxonomy places the organism in Eukaryota, Metazoa, Chordata, Actinopteri, Cypriniformes, Cyprinidae. The record is from Ensembl.